UACGUAGGGUGCGAGCGUUAAUCGGAAUUACUGGGCGUAAAGCGUGCGCAGGCGGUUUGGUAAGCCAGAUGUGAAAUCCCCGGGCUUAACCUGGGAAUGGCAUUUGGGACUGCAAGGCUGGAGUGCGGCAGAGGAGACUGGAAUUCCUGGUGUAGCAGUGAAAUGCGUAGAUAUCAGGAGGAACACCGAUGGCGAAGGCAGGUCUCUGGGCUGACACUGACGCUCAUGCACGAAAGCGUGGGGAGCAAACAGG
This 253-nucleotide ribosomal RNA is filed under the name uncultured bacterium. RNAcentral's name for it is "partial 16S ribosomal RNA". It matches the Rfam family "Bacterial small subunit ribosomal RNA", at positions 524 to 776 of the family's 1533-position model. The record is from RNAcentral.